UGGAAGUGAUGAGCUUUUAUCUGAGAAUUUUUAUGAUGAAAAUCAUUUCUCUAGAUAGUCAAGUACUGAUCCAG
Non-coding RNA from Xenopus laevis (African clawed frog), 74 nucleotides. The record is from Rfam. NCBI's taxonomy places the organism in Eukaryota, Metazoa, Chordata, Amphibia, Anura, Pipidae.